GAUGAAGAACGUAGCGAAAUGCGAUAAGUAAUGUGAAUUGCAGAAUUCAGUGAAUCAUCGAAUCUUUGAACGCACAUUGCGCCCCUUGGUAUUCCGAGGGGCAUGCCUGUUCGAGCGUCAUUAUAACCCCUCAAGCUCAGCUUGGUGUUGGGGCCUGCCGCACGGGCAGCCCUUAAAAUCAGUGGCGGUGCCAUCUGGCUCUAAGCGUAGUAAUUCUUCUCGCUAUAGAGUCCCGGUGGAUGCUUGCCAUUAACCCCCAAUUUUCUAUGGUUGACCUCGGAUCAGGUAGGGAUACCCGCUGAACUUAAGCAUAUCAAUAAGCGGAUGA
This 328-nucleotide unclassified non-coding RNA is filed under the name soil metagenome. RNAcentral's name for it is "partial contains 5.8S ribosomal RNA, internal transcribed spacer 2, and large subunit ribosomal RNA". The stretch from base 1 to 120 matches the Rfam family "5.8S ribosomal RNA", at positions 35 to 154 of the family's 154-position model. The record is from RNAcentral.